Long non-coding RNA from Tripterygium wilfordii, 1508 nucleotides. RefSeq lists it as uncharacterized. NCBI's taxonomy places the organism in Eukaryota, Viridiplantae, Streptophyta, Magnoliopsida, Celastrales, Celastraceae. The record is from RefSeq and is a predicted model, not a curated record. The transcript is spliced from 5 exons.
ACUGAGAAGGCAAUAGAAUUGGCAUCACCAUUUCAACUUUUAAGGUACUGUCUGAAUUAUGAUCCCAAUCUAGUUCAUUUCAUUAAGAUUAUUUCGUCCAACUUACUAAUGCAUAUAUCUGAACUAAAAUUAAGAGGCUUCUUCAAUUAUAUGCUACGAAGGUACUGUAUCACAUCUGCUAAUGAAAUACUUUAUAUUGAAAGACUUGGUAGGCUUAAUUUACUAGUAAUAACUGAGUAAUAUUAUGGGUUGGUAGAGCAUGCCCAACAAUGAUUAAUGAUUUAGCAUGCUUCAAAAUUUCAUGACUCCUUUUAUUUUGCCAUCGGUUUGUUAUCCGUGUAAGAAAUAAUUCUCACGACAAAUUCAACUGGAUACCUUCGUUAUCCAUGUGACUUGUGAGAAAUAAUUCUUGCGACCAAAUCAAUUGGGUACAUAUUUAUUUUGCCUGCUCUGUUAUGCGACCUCAGAUGUGAAACUUUGAACUGAAAUGGUCAUUUGUCAUUAUGUGAUGUGGUUGGUGAUGAAAAGAAUCUUAUUUUGUCGUUUGCAAUUAGUUUAUCGACAUGUUUCCUUGUUGUACUGGUUUUCGGGUGGGAUAGCUGGCUCCGGAUUGUUCUACCAUUUAAUGUAUAGCACAGCAUGUAGUAUAGGUUUUGAUGUAUCUUGUUUACGAAGUGUACUGGUUGAGCAUACUGGUGCACCUCUUGGAUAAAUUACUUGUAUGUUCGUGUUUCACGGAUCGUCUGCUGGAGGCGGGAAGCUGUGAUGUUUUGGAUCCAUGGUUGCUUGGUUCGCUGCCAACUUCUGAUGGUGUCCUUUUGCAUAGGGGCUGAAGGUGAAGUAAACUGUCUUCUGUAAUGAGGUGUUUUUGCUUAUGCCCAUUUGGGUCCGUUCAAGAUGUGCUUGUGACUAAGAUGACCGUGAUUGCGAUUAUGGCCUGUAUUUCUGCUGCUGUUGCUGCUUGCCUGCACACUCUGUUUGCUUUGGCAGGGAAGCUUGUCUCAAAUUUGCGCUACUUCUGUUUAUUCUCAUAGAAUCUUUGGGUUUGUGUUUGUGGAUGUACUAGUGAACUGCUAUGCCUGGUAUUGCUAGCAUUUCGUUCAGGGAUUGACAACUGUUCGUUUUGACUGUUACUGUAUUGUACCUGUUUGCGUGGGAUGUUCUGCAAAUGGAAUGGUACCCCAACUGAGAUUGUAGGAGGAUCAUCUCUUGAUUCUUAGCCUUCUAUGGGUUUACAUCAUACUGUGGACUUGCGGGGAAAGGAGAACGAAAGUGUGAUUUUAGAACUGAGAUGGUAUGGCAUCAUAUCUCUCGACCACCUAUGGGUUCAAAUCCUCCUGUGGACUUGCGGGCAAGAAAGGAGAAGGAAAUGUUGGUUUUUAUUCUCUGAAUGGGUCGACCCUACCCAGAUAUUUCCUGAUUUAAUUAAUUGGGCUACUGGAAAAGGUUUAAAUUUUUACUUUGGAAUAAACCUUUUCUUCGUGUAUAUAUAUAUAUAAGAUUUUACA